Molecule: long non-coding RNA, 1272 nt
Filed under: Gallus gallus (chicken)
Lineage: Eukaryota; Metazoa; Chordata; Aves; Galliformes; Phasianidae
Description: long non-coding RNA NONGGAT008038
Source: RNAcentral
CAACGCAAAGGGCUGCUGAAACAAGUUUUCUCCUAUUGCAGGCUGAGCGAAGGCUGCAGCGGAGCCUCUCGUCAGUCCGAACCGGAGCGUGAUCUCGUUCCCAUCGUGGAGAUGCAGCGGAAUGGCUUGCGUGACUCGAAUGCUGUUGUGGAUGUUCUGUUCUCUUCAGGAGAGACAGACAGGUGAGAGGUGGCAGAGUUGCACUUCCACUGAGAGAACUGGAAUGCAUUGAGCUGUGCCUAGGGAUGCAUGAAGAACCAGGGGAGUGCUGGCGUGCGAGGCUCAGGAGACAGUAAAUGUGGGUAAUGUCACUGGGGGUGUUGGUUACAGAUGAGGAAGCUGAUAAGACUUCCUGCACACAGCUAAAAGUAACCUCAAGGUUGCAGGCAUUAGUUUUCACAGUAUACUCGAAGCACCCUGCCAGUUGUUGAUAAGGCAAUGCUGUCAGGUGUAUCUCAUUCCAGGAGGCUCCUGCAGGUAUCAAAGUUUCUGACACAGGUGAAGGAGGAGCCAAUGAGGAGAGAAAUGCUGGCGGAGCUCUUACUCUGUAUUGAGGAAGGACUGACUGGGGAUGCAAAGACCGAGGGGACCUGAAGCGCAACAGCUGUGAGAUGGUGGAGUUUGGAAUCUCAGUCAGAAGAUGCAAAGCAAUAAGUAGGUUUGAAACACCAGACUUUGAGGGAGCAACUUUGUCCUCUUAAAGGAUCUGCCUGGAGGUAUCUGUUGGGUUGCAGCAUCAGAAGGGGUCCUGCUAGUGGUUCUUGAUUCAUGCAUUACUGCUUCUGUGCUCAGUAGGGUGCAUGCCUGAGAGUAAGAAAUGGAGCAGGAAAGGCAGGAGACCUGCAGGAGCAAAUGAGGAGGUCACAGAUAAACUUGAAGAAGAAAAGGAAGGCUAAGGCCCCCUUAGUAUCACCUUUGUGGAGGAAGGUGAAGGCUAACAGGCAAGGUGCCUGAGGACUCGUGGGUAGCCAGCAUCACUGCAGCCUUCAGAAAGGGUGAGAAGGAGGGCCUGCGCAACUGUAGGCUGUUCAGGAUCACCUCCCUCCCUGGCACUGAAAUGGGACAGCUUGUUCUGGAUGUCAUCUCUAAGGAGCGGUCAUGGUGGAUUCAGCAAGAGGAAGUGAUGAUGGACUGACCUGGUAGCUUUCUGUGUUGUGACUGUCUGGUUGGAUGAGAGAAGGGCAGUGGAUGUUGUGGGGUGGAAUAUCACUCCUGUCAGUAAAUAUCUAAGUGUGGAGUUGAUGGGAGUGGGCUUGUGCAGGCACAGAUGGA